This 440-nucleotide ribosomal RNA is filed under the name uncultured bacterium. RNAcentral describes it as "partial 16S ribosomal RNA". It matches the Rfam family "Bacterial small subunit ribosomal RNA", at positions 338 to 795 of the family's 1533-position model. The record is from RNAcentral.
CCUACGGGUGGCAGCAGUAGGGAAUAUUGCUCAAUGGGGGAAACCCUGAAGCAGCAACGCCGCGUGGAGGAUGAAGGUUUUCGGAUCGUAAACUCCUUUUGUUAGAGAAGAUAAUGACGGUAUCUAACGAAUAAGCACCGGCUAACUCCGUGCCAGCAGCCGCGGUAAUACGGAGGGUGCAAGCGUUACUCGGAAUCACUGGGCGUAAAGCGCGCGGAGGCGGGAUAGCAAGUCAGAUGUGAAAUCCUAUGGCUUAACCAUAGAACUGCAUUUGAAACUGGUAGUCUAGAGGAUGGGAGAGGUAGGUGGAAUUCUUGGUGUAGGGGUAAAAUCCGUAGAGAUCAAGAGGAAUACUCAUUGCGAAGGCGACCUGCUAGAACAUAACUGACGCUGAUGCUCGAAAGCGUGGGGAGCAAACAGGAUUAGAUACCCCGGUAGUC